Molecule: ribosomal RNA, 848 nt
Filed under: Pseudomonas chlororaphis
Lineage: Bacteria; Pseudomonadati; Pseudomonadota; Gammaproteobacteria; Pseudomonadales; Pseudomonadaceae
Description: bacterial SSU rRNA
Rfam family: Bacterial small subunit ribosomal RNA
Source: RNAcentral
UGCAAGUCGAGCGGUAGAGAGAUGCUUGCACCUCUUGAGAGCGGCGGACGGGUGAGUAAUGCCUAGGAAUCUGCCUGGUAGUGGGGGAUAACGUCCGGAAACGGACGCUAAUACCGCAUACGUCCUACGGGAGAAAGCAGGGGACCUUCGGGCCUUGCGCUAUCAGAUGAGCCUAGGUCGGAUUAGCUAGUUGGUGAGGUAAAGGCUCACCAAGGCGACGAUCCGUAACUGGUCUGAGAGGAUGAUCAGUCACACUGGAACUGAGACACGGUCCAGACUCCUACGGGAGGCAGCAGUGGGGAAUAUUGGACAAUGGGCGAAAGCCUGAUCCAGCCAUGCCGCGUGUGUGAAGAAGGUCUUCGGAUUGUAAAGCACUUUAAGUUGGGAGGAAGGGUACUUACCUAAUACGUGAGUAUUUUGACGUUACCGACAGAAUAAGCACCGGCUAACUCUGUGCCAGCAGCCGCGGUAAUACAGAGGGUGCAAGCGUUAAUCGGAAUUACUGGGCGUAAAGCGCGCGUAGGUGGUUCGUUAAGUUGGAUGUGAAAUCCCCGGGCUCAACCUGGGAACUGCAUCCAAAACUGGCGAGCUAGAGUAUGGUAGAGGGUGGUGGAAUUUCCUGUGUAGCGGUGAAAUGCGUAGAUAUAGGAAGGAACACCAGUGGCGAAGGCGACCACCUGGACUGAUACUGACACUGAGGUGCGAAAGCGUGGGGAGCAAACAGGAUUAGAUACCCUGGUAGUCCACGCCGUAAACGAUGUCAACUAGCCGUUGGGAGCCUUGAGCUCUUAGUGGCGCAGCUAACGCAUUAAGUUGACCGCCUGGGGAGUACGGCCGCAAGGUUAAAA